Molecule: ribosomal RNA, 643 nt
Filed under: uncultured Actinomycetes bacterium
Lineage: Bacteria; Bacillati; Actinomycetota; Actinomycetes
Description: bacterial SSU rRNA
Rfam family: Bacterial small subunit ribosomal RNA
Source: RNAcentral
CGCGGCCUAUCAGCUUGUUGGUGGGGUAAUGGCCCACCAAGGCUUCGACGGGUAGCCGGCCUGAGAGGGUGACCGGCCACACUGGGACUGAGACACGGCCCAGACUCCUACGGGAGGCAGCAGUGGGGAAUAUUGGACAAUGGGCGAAAGCCUGAUCCAGCAACGCCGCGUGAGGGAUGACGGCCUUCGGGUUGUAAACCUCUUUCAGCAGGGACGAAGCGAAAGUGACGGUACCUGCAGAAGAAGGACCGGCCAACUACGUGCCAGCAGCCGCGGUGAUACGUAGGGUCCGAGCGUUGUCCGGAAUUAUUGGGCGUAAAGAGCUCGUAGGCGGCUUGUCACGUCGGGUGUGAAAGCCCGGGGCUUAACCCCGGGUCUGCAGUCGAUACGGGCAGGCUAGAGUUCGGUAGGGGAGAUCGGAAUUCCUGGUGUAGCGGUGAAAUGCGCAGAUAUCAGGAGGAACACCGGUGGCGAAGGCGGGAUCCUGGGCCAUUGCUGACACUGAGGCGCGAAAGCUGGGGGAGCGAACAGGAUUAGAUACCCUGGUAGUCCCAGCCGUAAACGAUGGGUGCUAGGUGUGGGAGGCUAUCGACGCCUUCCGUGCCGCAGCUAACGCAUUAAGCGCCCCGCCUGGGGAGUACGG